RNAcentral lists this transfer RNA (75 nucleotides) under Ictidomys tridecemlineatus (thirteen-lined ground squirrel). RNAcentral's name for it is "Spermophilus tridecemlineatus (thirteen-lined ground squirrel) tRNA". It matches the Rfam family "tRNA". Rfam says of the family: Transfer RNA (tRNA) molecules are approximately 80 nucleotides in length. The record is from Rfam by way of RNAcentral. Lineage: Eukaryota; Metazoa; Chordata; Mammalia; Rodentia; Sciuridae.
GGAGUUGUAGCUCAGUGGUAGAGCGCUUGCUUAGCAUGUGUAGGGGGGAACUGGGUUCGAUUCUCAGCACUGCCU